Molecule: transfer RNA, 65 nt
Filed under: Typhlatya arfeae
Lineage: Eukaryota; Metazoa; Arthropoda; Malacostraca; Decapoda; Atyidae
Description: tRNA-Tyr
Rfam family: tRNA
About the family: Transfer RNA (tRNA) molecules are approximately 80 nucleotides in length.
Source: RNAcentral
GGUUAGGUGGCUGAGUUAUAAGCGGUAGAUUGUAAAUUUAUGGACGGGAGUUCUCCCCCUAAUUA